UACGUAGGGGGCAAGCGUUGUCCGGAAUCAUUGGGCGUAAAGGGCGCGUAGGUGGCUUCUUAAGCGUGCGGUGAAAGCCUGGGGCUCAACCCCGGGUCGGCCGUGCGAACUGGGGGGCUGGAGCACUGUAGAGGCAGGCGGAAUUCCGGGUGUAGCGGUGGAAUGCGUAGAGAUCCGGAAGAACACCGGUGGCGAAGGCGGCCUGCUGGGCAGUUGCUGACACUGAGGCGCGACAGCGUGGGGAGCAAACAGG
RNAcentral lists this ribosomal RNA (253 nucleotides) under uncultured bacterium. RNAcentral describes it as "partial 16S ribosomal RNA". It matches the Rfam family "Bacterial small subunit ribosomal RNA", at positions 524 to 776 of the family's 1533-position model. The record is from RNAcentral.